ACUUUUAAAUUUUAGAACACUUUUUUCUAUUUGAAGAAAAUCUUUAUAUACCACUCCUUGAGUAACACUUUCUUUAAAUGUCAAUUCUUUGUCAAUUGGUUUUUAUCCAGACUGUGCCUGCAAUAUGCUAAUGAAGAUACACAGAAACAAAUCUUCUGAAUGAGGCUUCCAACAAGGCUGAUCCCAUGAUAGCCCUGGUUGUGCCAGGCCUAUUUGGCUCCUCAUGCUCAUGCCUCCCACUUGGACUCAAGCCAGACCUGGAUCCUGAAAGCCCAAUCAUGGAGUAUUUUAGGAGCCCCAUCCACAAAGAUUGAAGAAAGAGGAUUAUUUUGCUUGCCUGUGAUUGGUUUCUGUAGAAGAGCAGGGUUGGUUUCUGUAGAAGAGCAGAACGGAAGCAACUUCACCACUCUAUACCAAUGGCAUUUCUGAGUGGACAAGCUGAAAUUCAGUAAUGUCUCCAAGCAUCGUGGCUCUUCUCUCAAAAUGAACUUUGAGGCUGCUAACCCUGCAUGACGUAGCCUACGGGACACUCCACUCCCUCCCUGUUCUCAUCAAACAAGAGAAGUUGCACAAGCUGGAGGGGCAGCUGGAUCACAGUUUAUGCUGCCCCCAGGAUACAUCUUUCAUCCUAAUGGUGCUUAUUCAGCUGUGGGGAUGCAUUGGUAUCUAGCUGAUUUUUGAAAAAGUGCAAAAAUCCAUUUAAAAACACAACCAAAUCCUCCUUUUGAGAUAGGGGCCUUGUG
This 743-nucleotide long non-coding RNA is filed under the name Macaca mulatta (Rhesus monkey). Its description in RNAcentral is "lncRNA (ENSMMUG00000056982.1)". Lineage: Eukaryota; Metazoa; Chordata; Mammalia; Primates; Cercopithecidae. The record is from RNAcentral.